UACAGAGGUCUCAAGCGUUAUUCGGAAUUACUGGGCUUAAAGGGUGCGUAGGCGGCGCAGUAAGUUGGGUGUGAAAUCCCUCGGCUUAACCGAGGAAUUGCGCCCAAAACUACUGUGCUCGAGGGAGAUAGAGGUGAGCGGAACUUAGGGUGGAGCGGUGAAAUGCGUUGAUAUCCUAAGGAACACCGGUGGCGAAAGCGGCUCACUGGAUCUCUUCUGACGCUGAGGCACGAAAGCUAGGGUAGCAAACGGG
This 253-nucleotide ribosomal RNA is filed under the name uncultured bacterium. RNAcentral describes it as "partial 16S ribosomal RNA". It matches the Rfam family "Bacterial small subunit ribosomal RNA", at positions 524 to 776 of the family's 1533-position model. The record is from RNAcentral.